UCCAAGCAAGUGCCCAAACUCCCAGCCAGG
Molecule: non-coding RNA, 30 nt
Filed under: Mus musculus (house mouse)
Lineage: Eukaryota; Metazoa; Chordata; Mammalia; Rodentia; Muridae
Source: RNAcentral